Molecule: ribosomal RNA, 497 nt
Filed under: uncultured bacterium
Lineage: Bacteria
Description: partial 16S ribosomal RNA
Rfam family: Bacterial small subunit ribosomal RNA
Source: RNAcentral
GACGAACGCUGGCGGCGUGCCUAAUACAUGCAAGUUGAGCGCUGAAGGUUGGUACUUGUACCAACUGGAUGAGCAGCGAACGGGUGAGUAACGCGUGGGGAAUCUGCCUUUGAGCGGGGGACAACAUUUGGAAACGAAUGCUAAUACCGCAUAAAAACUUUAAACACAAGUUUUAAGUUUGAAAGAUGCAAUUGCAUCACUCAAAGAUGAUCCCGCGUUGUAUUAGCUAGUUGGUGAGGUAAAGGCUCACCAAGGCGAUGAUACAUAGCCGACCUGAGAGGGUGAUCGGCCACAUUGGGACUGGGACACGGCCCAAACUCCUACGGGAGGCAGCAGUAGGGGAUCUUUGGAAAUGGACGAAAGGCUGACCGAGCAACGCCGCGUGAGUGAAGAAGGUUUUCGGAUCGGAAAACUCUGUUGGUAGAGAAGAACGUUGGUGAGAGUGGAAAGCUCAUCAAGUGACGGUAACUACCCAGAAAGGGACGGCUAACUACGUG